This 460-nucleotide ribosomal RNA is filed under the name uncultured bacterium. RNAcentral describes it as "partial 16S ribosomal RNA". It matches the Rfam family "Bacterial small subunit ribosomal RNA", at positions 338 to 795 of the family's 1533-position model. The record is from RNAcentral.
CCUACGGGCGGCAGCAGUGAGGAAUAUUGGUCAAUGGGCGCGAGCCUGAACCAGCCAAGUCGCGUGAGGGAUGAAGGUUCUAUGGAUCGUAAACCUCUUUUAUAAGGGAGUAAAGUGUGGGACGUGUCGUAUUUGGUAUGUACCUUAUGAAUAAGGAUCGGCUAACUCCGUGCCAGCAGCCGCGGUAAUACGGAGGAUCCGAGCGUUAUCCGGAUUUAUUGGGUUUAAAGGGUGCGUAGGCGGCCUUUUAAGUCAGCGGUGAAAGUCUGUGGCUCAACCAUAGAAUUGCCGUUGAAACUGGGGGGCUUGAGUGUGUUUGAGGCAGGCGGAAUGCGUGGUGUAGCGGUGAAAUGCUUAGAUAUCACGCAGAACCCCGAUUGCGAAGGCAGGCGGCCAAGCCAUGACUGACGCUGAUGCACGAAAGCGUGGGGAUCAAACAGGAUUAGAUACCCCGGUAGUC